CAGGCCAAUUAAAUCAAGCAUAUUCCUCAGUAUCAUGGAGAGACUGGAGGUUAGAGACACCAAAACCAUCCCUGGCUUAAUGACUUUGGGAUCCCUGGGCCCCUCCAUGCAGCAGAACGGCAAUUAACCAAGACCAUUGGCCAUUCUCUGACCAUCUCAAGCCAGAGGUGACUUGAUCUGUCACCCAGCUGUGGCCCAUGAGCAUUAUCUAAGGAGGAACAUUUUUGCUUACGUUUCCAGUGCUCUACAUAAGCCCUAGGCCCUGGAAAUACUACUUUCAUGGCUCUGGCUAUGAACAUCAGCAUAUAGAGAAUGGAUCACUACCAAAGAAGGCACCCGAAUGUGUCUGUCUCAUCCUGGGGAAACUCAUUCAUCUGUAUAUGUACUCAGCAAGUGUUUCCUGGCACCUGCUCUGGGUCACAGUGCUGGGCACUGGAAGCUGAGAGAUGUGGAAGAAGGCUGGACAUUCAAGGGACAAUGGCUGGAGGAAGAAAUGAGAGGAUCUCUAUACCCAGGCCUUGGCUUCUAUGUCCCUUCUCGAAGUGGUUGAAGUGCAGAUUUCUGAUUCUGUACCCAGCCUCCAGGGACACAGUACACAGUAUGCUGGGAAUGGCGGUGGGUGUUUGAGGUACAUUACUUCCAGACAAAACAUGGCUGCAGAGGGAUACCAAAAGCAUCUUCUGGUGGCUGAAGCCCUGUCUGCACAAGUGUCUGUGUUCUUCAAUGGUUCAGGCAAGCUCAGACAGACCCUCUGCUUCUCUUAACCUGAGACACUAGUUUCCCCAAGAACUUUGAGCUGAAGGUUCCUUGCUGUGUCCCCUACCUGGCUGUGAGGACUUUGAGUAUAAUUAUCCUAUCUUAUUUGUUGCUGUGCUCCCAGUGUCUUGGAUGGAGCCUGACAUCUAGUCAGUGUUAGUAAAUGUUGAUGUGUAUUGAAUUUUGCAAGGAUCUGCAGCCCUGAGAAGAGGGGAUACUUCUUGGAAACCUCUGUGGGCUAAAUUGAGGGUUAAGGACUGGGACUGGAAGGCAGAGAUUCCAGAGUGAUAACCACAGUAGUUACUAUUUCAUGAGAGCCUCCAUGUGCCAGCCUCUAAGCUAGGCCCAUACCAUGCAUUACCUCUUGUCCCCACUUUACAGAAACUAAGGCUUAGACAAGUUAAGCAACUUGCUAAAGAUCAAACAACUCAAUAUGUGUUGGAGUCAAAUGAACGCAUUUCUUUUCCAUUUCCCUCAUUUACUCCACUAAUGACAGUACUUAAAUUGUAGACUAGGAAUUAAAAUAGCAGAAGCCUGACUUGAGAGGGCAGAGCCCCUGCGUUUGAGUGCCUGAAAGUCAGUCAUGGGUAGAAAGAACAGUCUUGUAGCAGAGCUCUGGGCAAGGGAGGAGCCGUGAGCAGGUGGACAUGAACUCACUGUGACAACUCUCCAACAGUGAAAGCAGGUUCCCAUGGAAUCCAGGGAAAUUACUGAAUAACUUUCAACACAAAAAUGUGUGCUAGUGAGCUGUAGAGCCUUUAUAUCCCCCCAAAACAUAUUAUGGGGGUGGGGGGGGGGCGCGGAAUUCUGAAUUUUUGUUGUUGUUGUUGUUGUUGAGACAGAGUUUUGCUGUUGUUGCCCAGGCUGGAGUGCAAUGGCACAAUCUUGGCUCUCCACAACCUCCGCCUCCUGGAUUCAAGCGAUUCUCCUGCCCCAGCCUCCAGAGUAGGGGCUGGGAUUGUAGACAUGCGCCACCACGCCUGGCUAAUUUUGUAUUUUUAGUAGAGAUAGGGUUUCUGCAUGUUGAUCAGGCUGGUCUCGAACUCCUGACCUCAGGUGAUCCACCCGCCUUGGCCUCCCAAAGUGCUGGGAUUACAGGUGUGUGCCACGGCGCCCGGCCUAAGUAAAUAGUUUGGAAAGCUGCAUCCAAUAGUCUCUUUUGAAGAUUCACAAUGCACCCUAGCUUGUUAACUAUUCCAAGAAGUCCCCGGAAAAGAAUGCUUGUUUGACUUUCUUGAAUCCAGUGUUGCCCAUGUUUAUUUGACUAGUGAGCAGGUUUUUUUGUUUGUUUGUUUGUUUUUUAAGUGACACUUUUUAACACUCUGAGGCAGUAAUAUUGUACUGAACACAUGGGGAAUCUUCUGUGGAAGUUUGGCCUGGAAUACAUCCUCUGUGUUCCUUCUCGCCCCGUGGCUGAGUGAGUGUGCUGUAAAAGCUUAGUGACAGAAAAGCCCCACUUAGCCUAUUUGUGAUGAUUUCCUAAACCGGGCAAAUAACUCAUCUGAAUGGCUGAGGUGAUAAACUCACAGGAGGAGAAGAUGCUGGAGGAAGUGUCAUGUGUCCUGCAUGUAGGUACCACUUCACCUCCCAGCAAGGCGAUGCUGAUAGCAACGUUUUCCUUGGGUGUUGAAUUUUCCAUCCUGCAAUUACGUCUUAAGCCAUAGAUAAAAUUCACAUCCACGUUUCACUCAAGAUAAACCUAACAUCAUAAUAAUACAGAAGAUUAAUUCAUUGGGGAAAAAUAGAAGAAAAUUGGUCUUGGCUUAAAGAGAAGUCAACAUUUAGAAUGUGUAGAAGGGGAUUUCUUCUGGAUCACACUCUGUCCUCAACAGUGGCAUGUGAAAAUGUAUGUGGUUCGCUUUAGUGCAUGCAUGUUUGUGCCUGUCCCACUGACACAUCCACAGUGUGACCCAUAGAGGUCCACUUCUAAGACCCCUAACUCUGAGUCCAACCCACCCUUUUGGGCUCACUGCAGUCAUUUCUCUCUGAAGUCUUCCUUGACAACCUAGGCAUCAUCAGUUUUUCUCUUCUCUGAUCAUCUUAGCAAGUGUAUCCAUAAGCUAUAAUCACAAUCAUGCUGCAUAACAAAACCAAAAACUCAAUGGCCAAUAACAAUGAACAUUUAUUUUUUGUUUUCAUGUCUAGAGGCCAGGUGGGGGGUGGCUGAUCUAAGCUGGGUUUUGCUCUAGGUUAGAUUUAGUCUAGGUUGGCCUCACAUGUCUCUCAUUCUUCAGGUGUCAGGAGGCCACCAUGGGCCUGAUCUUCAGGACAGAUGCCUCUUAAGACUUGGGCUUUGACUCAUACACUGUUACUGCCACCCAUGUCCUGUUGGCCAAAGUCAAUUUCAUUACCAAGCCCAAGAUCUGUGGAGUGGAGAAAUGCAUUUUGAAGGGGAGGGAGUCAAUCUGUAAUGAGCACCAUGAUGUACCAUAGAGCAUUUGUAGUCAUGAGCCUGAUUUAGACACUUGGUGGGGUAUCUCUGUGCUCUUAGGAAUUGUGUCUCUGUGUCUGUCAGAGGUGAUAACAUUGGAGCUGAGCCUUAAAAAAUAAAAGUUUCCUCAAACACCU
Molecule: long non-coding RNA, 3324 nt
Filed under: Homo sapiens (human)
Lineage: Eukaryota; Metazoa; Chordata; Mammalia; Primates; Hominidae
Description: HSALNT0004697
Source: RNAcentral